This 253-nucleotide ribosomal RNA is filed under the name uncultured bacterium. RNAcentral describes it as "partial 16S ribosomal RNA". It matches the Rfam family "Bacterial small subunit ribosomal RNA", at positions 524 to 776 of the family's 1533-position model. The record is from RNAcentral.
UACGUAGGGGGCAAGCGUUGUCCGGAAUCAUUGGGCGUAAAGCGCGUGUAGGCGGCUCGGUAAGUCUGCUGUGAAAGUCCAGGGCUCAACCCUGGGAUGCCGGUGGAUACUGUCGAGCUCGAGUCCGGAAGAGGCGAGUGGAAUUCCUGGUGUAGCGGUGAAAUGCGCAGAUAUCAGGAGGAACACCAAUGGCGAAGGCAGCACUCUGGGACGGUACUGACGCUGAGACGCGAAAGCGUGGGGAGCAAACAGG